GGGGUAGUAGCUCAGUUGGUAGAGCACCAUGCUUUUAACAUGGUAAAUGGACUAAAAAUCCAUUUUCAGAAGUUCAUCGGGUCUUCUUUA
RNAcentral lists this transfer RNA (90 nucleotides) under Roseivirga sp. XM-24bin3. RNAcentral describes it as "tRNA-Lys". It matches the Rfam family "tRNA". Rfam says of the family: Transfer RNA (tRNA) molecules are approximately 80 nucleotides in length. Their secondary structure includes four short double-helical elements and three loops (D, anti-codon, and T loops). The record is from RNAcentral. Lineage: Bacteria; Pseudomonadati; Bacteroidota; Cytophagia; Cytophagales; Roseivirgaceae.